UGCGUAGGCGGUUUGACAAGUCUAGUGUGAAAUCUAUGGGCUCAACUCAUAGUCUGCACUGGAAACUGUCGGGCUUGAGUAUGGGAGAGGUGAGUGGAAUUUCCGGUGUAGCGGUGAAAUGCGUAGAUAUCGGAAGGAACACCUGUGGCGAAAGCGGCUCACUGGACCAUAACUGACGCUGAUGCACGAAAGCUAGGGGAGCAAACAGGAUUAGAUACCCUGGUAGUCCUAGCCCUAAACGAUGAUCGCUUGAUGUGGCAGGUACCCAAUCCUGCCGUGUCGAAGCUAACGCGAUAAGCGAUCCGCCUGGGAAGUACGGUCGCAAGGCUGAA
Molecule: ribosomal RNA, 332 nt
Filed under: uncultured bacterium
Lineage: Bacteria
Description: bacterial SSU rRNA
Rfam family: Bacterial small subunit ribosomal RNA
Source: RNAcentral